CGAAUACAGCAAUUCCUUCUACAUUAACCAACAUAGAAAGCUUGAAAAGGUCCUACACAAAGGACAUCUGUCUCACCUUCCCCCAAGAUCCCUACCUGAGCUACGACCCACUAUAUAGCUAUGCCAUAUUCUGAAGUGCUGUACAAUGGGGAUUUCAGAAGGAAAACAUUACUAAAUACAAGAGCUACUCGAGAGAAACCUGCUUAUUGUUUUUAUAUUGGGACAGAGUUCCCCCUCAGCUGUCCAAUGACAUGGAAGUGGAAUAUUUAUGGCAAUGCCGUCCCUUUAACUAACCCAUCCUCCAUAGACCAUAAGUUAAUAGUAGAAUUAAUAUACUGCAGGAAAGAUCACAACUGCUUCCUUUAUAUUCAGAGUUCUAUCUACAUCACUUCUCACAUACCAGCUGUAAGGAGUGAGGUCAGUCUGAGGACUCAAUCUGCUAAUAGAAC
Molecule: non-coding RNA, 449 nt
Organism: Pelobates cultripes (western spadefoot toad)
Lineage: Eukaryota; Metazoa; Chordata; Amphibia; Anura; Pelobatidae
Source: the annotation of a GenBank genome assembly